Molecule: transfer RNA, 74 nt
Filed under: Lentzea waywayandensis
Lineage: Bacteria; Bacillati; Actinomycetota; Actinomycetes; Pseudonocardiales; Pseudonocardiaceae
Description: tRNA_Leu_GAG
Rfam family: tRNA
About the family: Transfer RNA (tRNA) molecules are approximately 80 nucleotides in length. Their secondary structure includes four short double-helical elements and three loops (D, anti-codon, and T loops). Further hydrogen bonds mediate the characteristic L-shaped molecular structure. tRNAs have two regions of fundamental functional importance: the anti-codon, which is responsible for specific mRNA codon recognition, and the 3' end, to which the tRNAs corresponding amino acid is attached (by aminoacyl-tRNA synthetases). tRNAs cope with the degeneracy of the genetic code in two manners: having more than one tRNA (with a specific anti-codon) for a particular amino acid; and 'wobble' base-pairing, i.e. permitting non-standard base-pairing at the 3rd anti-codon position.
Source: RNAcentral
GUGGAUCUAGCCCAACUGGUAGAGGCACAUGGUCGAGGGCCAUGACAGUCAGGGUUCGAAUCCCUGGAUCCGCA